This 254-nucleotide ribosomal RNA is filed under the name uncultured bacterium. Its description in RNAcentral is "partial 16S ribosomal RNA". It matches the Rfam family "Bacterial small subunit ribosomal RNA", at positions 524 to 776 of the family's 1533-position model. The record is from RNAcentral.
UACGGGGGGAGCAAGCGUUGUUCGGAUUUACUGGGCGUAAAGGGCGCGUAGGCGGCCACCGCAAGUCAAUUGUGAAAUCUCCGGGCUUAACUCGGAAAGGUCAACUGAUACUGGCGAGCUAGAGUGCGGUAGAGGAUGGUGGAAUUCCCGGUGUAGCGGUGAAAUGCGUAGAGAUCGGGAGGAACACCCGUGGCGAAGGCGGCCAUCUGGACCAGCACUGACGCUGAGGCACGAAAGCGUGGGGAGCAAACAGG